CUGGCCACGCUUUCCCGUGCAUCUUUCGCUCCAAUUCGAAAACAAAAAUUGAAAAGAUGUUGCCCAUCGCAGCAGUCCUUGUGAUUGCCUUCUUGGGGGCCUUACAAAUAUUUGUAGUUCAGUCCCAGAUCAGAUUGUGUAGCGUAUAAUACCUAUAUUUUAAUCAAAAUUUUUUUAUUCCGUUCUAAUUGGCUAAAUUUCUAUUGUGUUAAGUUUUCGGCAGUACCGCGUCAUUUUCUAUGCUUUUAUUAUAAAAAAAAGUGCAACUAAAAAUAAAAAUAAUAGUAUUCAUAAGUGAAAAUAAAGUACAAUAGACAAGAAUACAAGUAUUGAAAUUCAUUCGUAAGAAGCAUCCAAAUGUCAGCAGAAAGUAAAAUAGAAAUGGCUAACGAACUGCAUGACAAUGUCAAAUUUCGAAAGCAACAAACAAUAAAUUUUCACAAAAAUUGACAACAUCAAAUUGAUGGGUCCACAACCGACAACAUUUGAAGGGACAUCGAAUGAAAUUGCGAGC
Drosophila guanche is the source of this 514-nucleotide long non-coding RNA. RefSeq lists it as uncharacterized. The record is from RefSeq and is a predicted model, not a curated record. NCBI's taxonomy places the organism in Eukaryota, Metazoa, Arthropoda, Insecta, Diptera, Drosophilidae. The transcript is spliced from 2 exons.